UCUACCUCUUACCAGUCUUCUUCAAGUACCAGGAUGAUGAACGUGGGUACGAUCAGAAGGUGGGUAUGACCAUACAUUCAAGAAUUGAAUUUUUUUAGGUUAAACAAGAAAUGAUGAAAUUUAUGGUUUUAUUGUGUUUUUUAUUUCACUGUACUUUUGUUAUGCUUCUUCGAGGCUCUAAACUAUGUACAAAAGCUUAGAGCUUUAACCUUUUAUUAAUGUAAUUUUUUAUUUUU
Molecule: long non-coding RNA, 236 nt
Filed under: Erythranthe guttata (spotted monkey flower)
Lineage: Eukaryota; Viridiplantae; Streptophyta; Magnoliopsida; Lamiales; Phrymaceae
Description: long non-coding RNA (EGUT_LNC003632)
Source: RNAcentral